Molecule: long non-coding RNA, 2802 nt
Organism: Pan troglodytes (chimpanzee)
Lineage: Eukaryota; Metazoa; Chordata; Mammalia; Primates; Hominidae
Exons: 2
Source: RefSeq, a predicted model, not a curated record
AUACGUAGGGUAUAAAGAAAAAAAAUGAUUGGGGUUAGAGAUGCAUGUUUGAACUUAUCAACAAUAUUAAAGAUAUUAUACAAAAAUAUACCAAAAGAUAUUGGAGAUAAUAUCUAGAUGAGAUAAUAUCUAGAUGAGAUAAUAUACAAAAAGAUAUUGGAGAAGGAUAAGCAAAGAAUUUAGAAUUGGAGCCAAAAGCCAACAACAAUUUUUAAAACUCAAAACAAAAAUUAAAAACAAAACAAGUAGAAAAAUAAAACAUUCAGGGGUCAAGUAGAGAUAGAAGAACAGGAAAGAAGAUAAGCGGCUAGAGAGGUAAGAAGCAGUGAAGAGGAUGAAACUGAAAAAACAUGGUGGCCUGAGAAAAAGCUAAAGGUCUUCUAAUCUGAAUUAUUUUGAGAGAAGAUUAAGUCAAAGAAGGACUAAGUAGAAGUAAAACAGUCAACUUCUUCUGCUGCCUUUAUGGAUGAUAAGAGUACACAUAAGAUCCCAGAGUCAGGAAACCCAAAUUUGCCUUCUAAAGCAAACAAAAUACAUGGCCACACUGUUUAAUUAUAGUUUCUUAAUCAAUGCAACUUGGAGACUUCCAUCUUUGUUCGAUUUCACAAACCAACUGUACUCUGACUUGCAAUGUUGAUGUCUAAAGGUCUAUAACAACCAUGAGAUAUGAUAAUCAUGUACAUUUUUUUUUUCUUCGUGAUCAGCUUCCUUGUAAACCUGGUUAAUUCUGGCAAUCUUGUGAUUAUCAUUUUAAAUAAAAGUUGUUUUUUUUUUUUAAUUUGGUUGGGACCAUCUUGCUCCCUUUUCAACCUUUCUUUGCAAGUAAGUCUUUCUCUAAAGCUAUCUCAACAAUAAUUUUUCCUCUUAGCCAGUUCUGCAGAUUCUUCCAAAAUGCAUCAGAGCUGAUUAAACUCUGUUUUUAAACAUGGCCCCUCAAAGGUUGAUUGCGCCAGGGCUAUGUUCUUCAGAUAAUGAAAUGAAUCUUGUAUAAUAAUGAAACUUUUACACUCAUGGACUGGAUUGCGCACUAUUCCAGUGUGACCCCUGAAACUAACCACUCUAUUCUAAUGUUAAUAUUUAUACUCAAGAGGCAUCGAGCUAGUAUUUGCACUGAUUGCAAGACUAUUUCUUAGUGAAUUAAAUUACACAGUACAAUUUUGCAGAAAUUGCUUUGGCUGACUUUAAGAUAUUUCAAAAUGUAAUUAUCUGUGAAAUUGAAAGAUUUCAUAUUUAUUGAUAUAAACUCUUUUAUUUGUAUUAAAUAAACAUUUCAUUAAAUGUGCUGACAAAUAUAUAUAAGGGCAAUCUGCUUUAUAUGUUUUUAUUUAUUUUAGUGAUGAUGCUUUGUUCUGUUUACUUAAGAAUAUUAUGGUAUUUUCUUUUAUAAAAUUACUACUUGUUCUAUUUCUUAUUUAUUUAAAAGAUUGAGAUUUCAUAUUAAUAUUCAAAGACAUAUAGAAUACUGUGAGGCAAUAUUUUUCAUUCUGCCUUACAAAAAUAUAUAUUUUUUUGUUUUAAAGGUGUGAAUAAUAAAAAAUAGUCUAAAAUCUCUAUGGAAAGAAAUGAAUAUAUUGAAAAUAAUAGUCUUAAAAUUAAAUACAUAUUUUCUCACUACCUUGAACACAUUGUGAGAUUGGAAAUCUUUUAUUCACUUCCAAUCAUAGAAACAUUAUGCUUUCUGUUUUCAUUUACUGCCAUUUCCUUUCACUUUUCAAAGCAUUUUCUGAAAGUAGCCUUUUUCCAUCUCUCUUUUUUCUAAAUAGCAGAUUAAGUCGCCCUAAAUAGAAAGAGUGCCAAUUACCCACCAUUAUCAGUACUCUAAAACCUUAGGCCUCUUAAAUAAAAUGUAUUUGGCUAUGAUUCUGCUGAUCAUAGUGAUUAAAUCUGGGCUGUUUAGAAAUGAGUAAAUAAAUAAAGCUUAAUUGUUAAUCAUCAAAGUCUUAUAGGGGAAAAAAAGCAAUAGAAUGGAGUGAAAACUCUUAAAAACAGUUUGAAAAGAAUGUAGUGUUAUCAUAUGAACUGAAAAAUGUCCUUAAUUUUCAGGUAUGAUUUACAUAGGAAUCUAAUCUUGCUUACUGAAAUUUGGUAAUAUUAGAUUAUGAGAUAUAGUAGGUAAUUUUCCUCUUUGUAAUUAACAUAAAAUGAAAUGACAUAAUUUCUAUCAUUAAAACAUCUCAAUUUCACUGGUAAUAAAGCUUUAAUUGUAUAAUAAUAAUAUUAUCAAUGUUAAAGUAUUCAAAUGGAGGCAGGUCUCUGUGGGAGAGAAAGAUAAAGCAUAGAACAUUACUUUCUUUUUUAAAAUGACCUCUUAAUGUAGGAAAUUUAUUUUCUCAUUUAUUUAUGGAUCUGUGCACCUAUUUUCAGAAAGUGCAGUUUGUUUCUGUGUGAAUGUUAGCACAGACAAUGCCAAGUUUAUAUUAAAUCCUCCAAAAGGGUAGAAACACAAAUAUGAAGUAUAAUUUUUUAUCUAAGAUCACCUGUAUUACAAAUUUAGUCUGGCUUCCAGUUAAUUAAUUUCUCAAAUCUCUCCCUACAUGCAGUUAGCACUUCAUGGCUACAUAUAUUUCUACAUACAAGUGCAAAAUGAUGAAAAACAUUGAGACCAUGAAAACACAAGAAGCAGCCACAAAAGCCUCAGCUCCUUCUACUUUCAGAAAUCCUGAGUUGAACUGAAUAUCUGCGGGAGACAGUUGAAGAUGAGUCACUCUGACCUCUGUACCUAAAAAUGUAGACAUUAAGUCCUUACCCAUGCAGAAUGUCCUUCCUGAAAUCUGAUAUAAUAAAAUUUAUCUUUAUUUUCUA